GAUGAACGCUGGCGGCGUGCCUAAUACAUGCAAGUCGAGCGAACAGACGAGGAGCUUGCUCCUCUGACGUUAGCGGAGGACGGGUGAGUAACACGUGGAUAACCUACCUAUAAGACUGGGAUAACUUCGGGAAACCGGCGCUAAUACCGGAUAAUAUAUUGAACCGCAUGGUUCAAUAGUGAAAGACGGUUUUUGUGUCACUUAUAGCUGGAUCUCAGCCGGUUUAGCUAGUUGGUAAGGUAACGGCUUACGAAGGCAACGAUGCGUAGCCGAGCUGAGAGAGUGAUCGGCCACACGGGAACUGAGACACGGUCCAGACUCCUACGGGAGGCAGCAGUAUGGAAUCUUCCGCAAUGGUCGAAAGCCUUGCGGAGCAACGCCACGUGAGUUAUGAAGGUCUUCGGAGCGUAAAACUCUGUUAUUAGGUAAGAACAAAUUUGUCAGUAACUAUGCACGUCUUGACGGUACCUAGUCAGAAAGCCCCGGCUAACUACGUG
This 497-nucleotide ribosomal RNA is filed under the name uncultured bacterium. Its description in RNAcentral is "partial 16S ribosomal RNA". It matches the Rfam family "Bacterial small subunit ribosomal RNA", at positions 28 to 507 of the family's 1533-position model. The record is from RNAcentral.